AAGAAACUUAGUGAGCGCGCUCACAUACCCCACGUCCCCACAUUGUCAUUGGAGAAAUAAAAUAAGUGUAAGAAAAAAUAAAAUGCUCCGCAGGGCGCAGCUUGAUACGACCGCAGAGGUCGAACCCUGAACAGUUGGGGCAAGUAUGGACACAACAUUCAAGCUUGAUACAGCUCUGAAUUUGGAUUGUGAUUAAAUAUUUGACACAGCAUAGGUUUCUGACACAGAAUGAAUGUGGUCUAAGAACUUAAAAAUUUUAAAUUGGACAUUCACCUAUUAUGGUCCAAUAUCCAAAAUCUAAAUACAUGGUAAGAUUCAGCAUAUCAAAGAACCCCAAGAAUUCAAUUUUUGAUGAAAUCAAACAAAGUUUAAUUUUGGACCCUUUUGACCUCAAUGUGGACAAAGUUGAUAACGGGGCCCAAAAAUCAAAACUCUAAAUACAUGGUUAGAUUCAGCAUAUCAAAGAACCCCAUAUAUUCAAUUUUUGUUGAAAUCAAACAAAGUUUAAUUUUGGACCCCGACUUGGACCAACUUGAAAACUGGGCCCAUAAUCAAAAAUCUAAAUACAUGUUUAGAUUCAGAAUAUCAAAGAACCCUAAGAAUUAAAUUUUUGUUAAAAUCAAACUAAGUUUAAUUUUGGACCCUUUGGACCUUAAUGUAGACCAAUUUGAAAACGGAACAAAAAAUUAAGAAUCUAAAUACACGGUUAGAUUCGGCAUAUCAAAGAACCCCAAUAAUUCAAUUUUUGAUGAAAUCAAACAAAA
This is a long non-coding RNA of Mytilus californianus (California mussel), 764 nucleotides long. RefSeq lists it as uncharacterized. Lineage: Eukaryota; Metazoa; Mollusca; Bivalvia; Mytilida; Mytilidae. The record is from RefSeq and is a predicted model, not a curated record. The transcript has 2 exons.